This 25-nucleotide non-coding RNA is filed under the name Mus musculus (house mouse). RNAcentral also lists the same sequence under 1 other name. The record is from RNAcentral. Lineage: Eukaryota; Metazoa; Chordata; Mammalia; Rodentia; Muridae.
UGGGCCAAACCUGAAUAAAAUCUGG